UACGGGGGGAGCAAGCGUUGUUCGGAUUUACUGGGCGUAAAGGGCGCGUAGGCGGUCGUGACAAGUCACUUGUGAAAUCUCCGGGCUUAACCCCGGGCCUGCAGUGGGUACGGGCAGACUAGAGUGCUGUAGGGGAGACUGGAAUUCCUGGUGUAGCGGUGGAAUGCGCAGAUAUCAGGAGGAACACCGAUGGCGAAGGCAGGUCUCUGGGCAGUUACUGACGCUGAGGAGCGAAAGCAUGGGGAGCGAACAGG
RNAcentral lists this ribosomal RNA (254 nucleotides) under uncultured bacterium. RNAcentral describes it as "partial 16S ribosomal RNA". It matches the Rfam family "Bacterial small subunit ribosomal RNA", at positions 524 to 776 of the family's 1533-position model. The record is from RNAcentral.